UAAUUUAUUAUUUGCUUUUUGUUUAUUUUCUUCUCUUAUUUGUUUAUUUAGAUUUGGGUAUUUUCGAGGAAGGGUGAAAUUUUUAGUCCUGGAACAAGAUUUAUUCAAAUAGAAUGGAGUGGAUUAUAAAGAUGGGAAAAUAACAUUCUAUGUCUAUUUGGAGAAAAUAUUUACCCAAAAUGGUCCAUAUUUCUAAUAUUACCCGAAUUUGGUGUAUAAUGUUGUGUAUCAUGUGUAUAAACACUGUUGCAAAAAAAAAUGUUGGCUAUGCGGAUGUAAAUUAAAAAAUAUGGCUAUGUUGGAUGUAAUAUUUUAUGUUGGAUUGUUUAUCGUUGAAAUUAUUGAUCUAUCCAUAUGUGAAGCCGAAUUUAACUAGUUUGGGAGCGAGACAUAUUGGCCCUUUUUGCUAGGCAUUUUUAGUUGUAACAUAUUCUAUCGAUGAUUAAUCAACUCGAAAGCUUCUUCUGUAAUUUGCCUGAUUUACCGAUUAAAAAACUAAUCUUUGCACUUUUCCAAGCUUUGCUCCUGUUUGGCCAUAGAUUCUGAAUUUGAAACUUUAAACUUGAAAAUUUGAGUUUUUGAAGUUGUGAUUUUUAGAACUUAAAGUUGUGUUUGGACAUACAUUUUACUUGCAAAAAAAUUUGAAGUUUUGUAAGUGGAAGUGAAAUUUCUCCCAAAACAGACCAGUUUUUGGAAUUUGAAAGUAUUUUGAAGAUAAAUUUUCAUACGAUGAUCAAAUUUCAUUGCCAAACAUAUAUUUAAAGAUAAAUGAUUACAAUAUGAUCCAAAAUCUAUGACCAAACGCCAGCUAAGUUAUACAGAAGUUGACCAAAACAAAUCUUAGUUCAAUAUAAGGAUUAAGAAAGUCGUCAUUGUGAAUAAGGUACAAUUAAUCUUACCUGGGGAGACCUGUUAAAAUGUUGGGGACCUAGCUUGGGAUUUGUCUUUUGUGUUUGGCAGCAAUUCAUGAAUAUACUUAAGUUUUUUUUUAAUAGUUCCUGAGUAGGCUUGUGAUUAGGAGUGGCAAACGGACGGUUUAGAUCGGAUAUGGGCGGGUAAAUGGGUUUAAUUAAAACUGGAUAAAAUACCCGAUCCGCCCAUAAUUAAUAUGGAUAAUGAAUGGGGUAAUCGAUGGAUAAUAUGGACAUAUUGUCUAUGUUGCUCAGGCUCUUCAAAAAUGUCAACGGGUGCGUGUCGGAUUCUCCAAAAGUAGUGUAUUUUUGGAGAAUCCGACACGGGUACGGCAUCAAAAGUGAAGAGUCCGCGCAACUUAGCAUAUUAUCCAUGGUCAGAUGAGGAGAUGAGGACACAAGCUGAAAGCCAAAAUACGAAUAGAUUCCUAGAAAGCAAGAACUCAUGAAAAAUAACAAGCAGCCAAAUGGGUAUUGAUAAUGUGGAUAUCCAUUUUUAGUGGAUAAUAUGGAUAAUAUCCAUAUUUGAUCCAUUUUUAAAUGGUCAAUUAUCCAACCCAUAUUUAAUGAGUCAGUGUUUUUCUAAAACCAUUUUGCCAGCCCUACUUGUGAUGGUACGAAAUGCUAUUUUAGCAUAGCUGCAUCCAUGUUAUCUCCUGAAUUUCACAGCACUUGUUUGAUGCACGCAUGCCAAUGACAACUCUAUAGCCUUGAAAAGCCAAUGCUUUUGCAACAUAAUCUCAUUGACCAAGGCUAUUACUUCAUUUUACUUUAUAUCAUUAGGGUUGUGCGCAAUUUUACAUAAUUUAUGUUUACUAUGUUUGUGUUUGCCAAUUAUGAGUUGGGCGUUUUAUCACUUCAGCCAUGGAUGCUUAUCGUGGAACUGGAACCUGUACAUGGCGAAUAACUAAAUUUCAAUUGAAAUGAAGUCGUUAGGAUAAAUUGAUGCAAUUUAGAAGGAAUCAAUGAGAUGACAUCAAUUCAAAUCCUGGUUUUCCGAGGCAUAGAUGAAAAAUCCUUACAUUUCUUGGACUCAUGGACCGAAUUCAAUUUAGUGGAUACUUCAUUCACGUUUUUUUCUUCCACUUAGGCGUUUUCUAAAAUUCUUUGACCCUCGAAAUUGGAGUAUCCUACUUUCACGCUAUUCACCAAGCAAUGUUUCACGAUCAGGGAUGUAAUGUUUGUUUCGGUACCUUUCAUCUUCACUAUGAAGUGCAAGCUUGCCAAUGAUGACUUUGUAGGCUUGUAAUGAUUGUGAAGAAGAUGGAAAUCUAAAAUCAACAUAUACAAUGGACUUCGGCUACUUGGUUGUCUUCUUAGCUCUAAGUUAUCUUUGCUUUUAUUUUAUUAAGAAAGAUCACUUUUUUAAACUAUUCAUAUUGUUGCUAAUAUUUUUGCAGUGUGCUGGCUAGAGAGAAAGAUUUCCUUUCCUUCAAAUUAAGUUGUGACUUGUGUGUUCCUUUUUGUUUGUCACAUCUUGGAUUCUCAUACUAUAGUGUGUAAAGGAGACGAAGAAAAUCUUUUGGCUUAUAUAUGCUAUUGCAAACAAAUGAAAAGAUAAAAAAGAGUUUCGUGCAGCUUUAAUUAUUCAAAGCAUUCAGAAUCCAUUAAAUUAUUGUUGUAUUACUGGUGUAGCUUUGUAGACAAGUGAUAGCUUUCACGCUUAUGUUCUGACUGCUACCUUGUAGAUACCCUCGUUGGUAUAAGAUUGUUGACAAAGUUAAAGUGAUGCUGUUUGCCAGGAAUUAAUUUUUUAGGAGAGUUUGGAAUUACUUCUUCAUGUGACAGCUAUUAAAAAAACAAAAA
Molecule: long non-coding RNA, 2717 nt
Organism: Lycium ferocissimum
Lineage: Eukaryota; Viridiplantae; Streptophyta; Magnoliopsida; Solanales; Solanaceae
Exons: 2
Source: RefSeq, a predicted model, not a curated record